AAUCAACGCUGGCGGCGUGCCUAACACAUGCAAGUCGAACGAGAAAGUGGAGCAAUCCAUGAGUACAGUGGCGACCGGGUGAGUAACACGUGACUAACCUACCUUUGAGUGGGGGAUAACAUCGGGAAACCGAUGCUAAUACCGCAUAACAUCGCAAGAUCAAAGCAGCAAUGCGCUUAAAGAGGGGGUCGCGGCUGAUUAGCUAGUUGGCGGGGUAA
Molecule: ribosomal RNA, 218 nt
Filed under: uncultured bacterium
Lineage: Bacteria
Description: partial 16S ribosomal RNA
Rfam family: Bacterial small subunit ribosomal RNA
Source: RNAcentral